AAAAAAAAAACCCUAACUACACCUUUCCAAAAUCAGUCUCUCACUCAUUCAUCCUUACUUCUUCCUUUGUUUCGGAUAAAAAUCCCCACAAAUCCUUUUUUUCUUCCUUCUUCUCGGACUCAAGAAACCCAAACAUGGUUUUCUUCUCAUCUCACACCCUUUCUUCUUUCUUCUUCCUUGCAAAGAAAACUAUCGUCGAUUUGUUUGAAACGCUCACCGAACUCCAGACGAGUUGAAAACUCGAACCAAUGUCCACUGCAUAUUCGAGUUUUUUCUUUAGGGCAUUGACUAAGGCAUAUAGACACUAGAGAAGGGGAUAGACGAAGGCGCGAACAUGGUUUGCCACGAAGGUGCAGAAGAGGGCGGCGUUGGCCUGGGUGCAGAGUCGCCAUGAAUCGAAGAGAAACAACAUGGAAGAGAUGAACCACACGAGCAUCUGGCGAGACUCGAACUUGUCACGGGCUUAGUUGCUUGAUAUCAGAGCUCUAGUGGAGAUUAGGCAACUGGGAUCCUAGAUGAUGUUGGGGGUUUGAGGAAGAAGGCAGUGUUGAUUGCUUAUAAGAGUGAUGAUAAGUCAGAGUUCCUUAAGAAGCUUGCAUUGAAGUUUAAGGGACCAGAGAAUAUCAUAUUGUUUAUUCUGGACAAAUUUGAUAGGAACUCUGAACUGGUUGCAGAGUUGGUUAUCGUUAAUGGAUUUAAAGCUGCUUAUGCAAUUAAGGAUGGUGCAGAAAGACCGAGAGGAUGGAAGAACGUAUGCCUAAAAAGGUUCUUGACUUGUUGAAUGUUGAAAAGCUUACAAGGGAGGUUGUGCCCACCACCUUCAGGCAUUUUUGCGAACUUUUUUCUUUAGUUUAAUGUCUCAUUCUGUGUUUUUCUACCUCUUCUUGAACCUAAUUGCCUAAAUUGGAGAGUUCAAAGGUGAACGUUAUUUUAUUUCU
Vigna radiata var. radiata (mung bean) is the source of this 938-nucleotide long non-coding RNA. RefSeq lists it as uncharacterized. The record is from RefSeq and is a predicted model, not a curated record. The transcript has 5 exons. NCBI's taxonomy places the organism in Eukaryota, Viridiplantae, Streptophyta, Magnoliopsida, Fabales, Fabaceae.